RNAcentral lists this ribosomal RNA (468 nucleotides) under uncultured bacterium. RNAcentral describes it as "partial 16S ribosomal RNA". It matches the Rfam family "Bacterial small subunit ribosomal RNA", at positions 28 to 507 of the family's 1533-position model. The record is from RNAcentral.
GACGAACGCUGGCGGCGUGCUUAACACAUGCAAGUCGAACGGAAAGGCCCUGCUUUUGUGGGGUGCUCGAGUGGCGAACGGGUGAGUAACACGUGAGUAACCUGCCCUUGACUGUGGGAUAACUCCAGGAAACUGGGGCUAAUACCGGAUAGGAUCUCUUGCUGCAUGGUGGGGGUUGGAAAGUUUCGGUGGUUGGGGAUGGACUCGCGGCUUAUCCGCUUGGUGGUGAGGUAGUGGCUUACCAAGGGUUUGACGGGUAGCCGGCCUGAGCGGGUGACCGGCCACAUUGGGACUGAGAUACGGCCCAGACGCCAACGGGAGGCAGAAGUGGGGAAUAUUACACAAUGGGCGGAAGCCUGAUGCAGCAACGCCGCGUGCGGGAUGACGGCCUUCGGGUUGUAAACCGCUUUCGCCUGUGACGAAGCGUGAGUGACGGUAAUGGGUAAAGAAGCACCGGCUAACUACGUG